ACAACUCUAAUCCUCAAUAACAUCAUUAUAAUACAUAACUGUUCAAUACUAUACUUUACAUUACAUCAUUCUCAUGUCCACUUCUAACUAUUACAUAGACAUGACUUUACUCUAGCUGACCUCCUGGCCUAUCCCGUACCUGCAAACCUGGGGAAAUUUGGGAGUGGGGUGAGCUACUAGAGCCCAGUGAGUAGAAUAAUAAAACAUUGUAUUUUAAA
Molecule: long non-coding RNA, 218 nt
Filed under: Manihot esculenta (cassava)
Lineage: Eukaryota; Viridiplantae; Streptophyta; Magnoliopsida; Malpighiales; Euphorbiaceae
Description: long non-coding RNA (MESC_LNC002773)
Source: RNAcentral